Molecule: long non-coding RNA, 9815 nt
Filed under: Taeniopygia guttata (zebra finch)
Lineage: Eukaryota; Metazoa; Chordata; Aves; Passeriformes; Estrildidae
Description: lncRNA (ENSTGUG00000024548.1)
Source: RNAcentral
CAAGAUACAGAGUUGGGGAAUUGUUCCAUCUAAGCCCUCACCUUGUUUUCAGCAAAGAGGGUGCUUCUCUUCUGGUUCAGGAGUGCAGGGCAGUACCUUCAAAGCCCGUGAAGUGGGCAGAGGCAGCACUGUCUGGCAUGGCCACACAACACUCUGAGCCCAGUGGGAAGGCUGGUGCAAGGCUGGCAGGCAGAGAGGCCAGUGGGGCACCAGCAGCCUGGGAGGCUCCUUUCCUCCCUCCCUGCCCUGACAUGCAGAGUCCAAGGGUGCCUGCAGGUGUGACUGCUGUGAAAGACAAGAACCUGAUUUCUAAACAGUCAGCUUUGCUUUUGACUUUACUAUAGAUACAACUGGAGUUUUUGAAAUGAUCUUUCCAAAGCAUAAAAAAGUGCAUUUUAAAUGUUCUGAUUAGAUAAUGAGUAGUCCUUUUCUGAACGAAAAAGAAAUCCAGGUUAACGUCUUGCAGAACAGUUUAUAUGGAACACUGACAGCAAAAGCUGUUUCUUGAAAAGAAGAAAAUGAGUACAUUUACUUGAUGCAGGGUGUUAUAGCUGAGUCAAGAAGAGGCAUAAUCUUUUCUGUUUACCACUUAUUUCUCUAUGUAUUUAUUCUGUUAACAUUGAAGUCAAGCACAAUAUUUUUUUUCUUUAUAAAUGUCUUGAGAAUAUCACCUGUGUUAGGCAGCUUAUUAAACAUUUGCUGCUCAAAACACACAGGUUUAGAGAUCUACCUUAGAUAUUUAUAUAAAUACAGGCAAAUGACUUUAAGGUCAUUCUCACCAACCAUAUUUAAUUGAAAAAGAAGGCUGAUAAAUUGUUUUCUGUGGCAAGACAGCUCAAAUGGAAAAUCAGAUUUUAAGUGAAGAGAUCUGUUUAUGUGAUAUCUUUCCUAACUUUCCCCAAUUAAUAUUUUUAAAGAAGUGAGCAGCUGAAAAAGUUGUAAAACCAUAAUUUUUUAUUACUUCACUUUACCUAGGAAAGUCCUUAAGCAUUUACAACUCAUAAAAGAAAAAGUAUCACCACUGGUUUGUUUAGGGGACCAUAAGGUAAGAAGAUCUCACAGCAUUUCUGCAUGUCAGAAUUUACAUAAUUUCCAAAACAUUAUUGAUCACCAGCAGAUAUUUGCUGUGUGUUUUAUGUGAUCUAGCCAGACAUACAUUUUUAUUUUAGAAAUUACUUAAAUUAUUUCUAAAUUGUCUCCACUGAUCCUAUUGUUGAAAACAAUUCCAAGAGUUUCAGAAAUGCUGUAUUCAUAUGAUAUGUGUAACUUUUUAGUUUGAGAGUAAAAAAACGCACCCUAAAAUGCUUGAAGUGGAGCUAUUGAUUGCUUUCAGAAAAUACUACUAUGACCCUAUAUGUGUUCCCUUAUGGGUUUUAUUAUGAUAACAGAAUUUCACUGGAUGACAGACUGGGUCAGAUUGCAAAGUACAAAGGUGAGAUUCCAGAGGGAAAAGUAUGCUUACCAACUUGUUAUCUUUUCAUACACAUUUGAAAGUUAACUUACUGGAUAAAAAAAAGCAAACCUUUUGACCACUCUCUACUGAGAACAGCAACAGUGUCCUGUGGAGCUUGAUGAAUAGUGAAGUAAAUUUUUUAAACAUAGGAUUUAGUGGUUAUAAAAUUUUAAACAAUCUGGGUGGCUCAGACAUCAAAAUCUGAUUUUCAAAGUGAUUUGGACAUUUGGUCCAUCAAGUGCUACAAUGAGUAGAUUCAAAAGACUCUCCCCAGGCAUCAGACUCCCUACAAUGUGUAAGGAGCAUCAGAUGCCUCUGAACAGACCCAAACAGCAGUUGACUGAAUAGACUGAAUGGGCCAUGUCCAGCAGACAGCAAUUAGAGAAUAUUUUGGUCUCUCAGAACAGCAGAGAAUCACAAUCCUUUUUUACAAGUCAGUUACAGAAACUUCCCCUGAAUCAAUAUGCUUGAAUGUUUUCAUUACAGAAAACCAGUCAAGGCCACUUUUUAGAGGAUUGCUACCAGAAGAAGAGGGAGUAAUACUGUAAUCUUUACACAAAGUGGAUUAGUCACAGAAUAUUCCAAAUGCAAUUUCUUUUUGCCAUAAUAGAUUUAUAUCUAUAUUUCUAUUUCCCAUAGAAGUUAUUCUAACCAUUAAUCUCAGGCUGAGAGUUGUGCUGUGGUUUGUGCUUCCCAUGAAAAUAUUUUCACCAUGCAGAAAAUAAUUAAGGAUACCUUGGCUCAGUGAGACACAUCUAGAAGUUUGAGAACUCAUGUGGAAAGAACAUUUUUUAUUUUAAAAAUAAUUAUGGUUCAUAAUAAAUAAAUAAAUCUUGGCAGAAGAGCUGAAUGGUAGCUUUUUCCAUUCCAACUAAAUGCCCGGGUUACCACAUUACUUUUUUACAUGUCAUUCACUUUCCCAAGAGAAGACUGUCUCCAUACAAACUUAGUCAACUUCAAAAGGAGAGGCUGAGGACACGCACAAUGUUUAGGAUACCAAUAAAAUGAGGAGUUAUGGAUUUGAAUCUCUCUGCCAAAGGGAGAGAGUCCUGGCUGACUAGUACUUUAAUACCAGUGAGAAACUACCUUUAUUUUAUGUUCAGUCUGACCUGUUGAAAUGCUCUUAACAGCACUCAUCAGAUCACAUCUUUCACUUAACAUGGAUGGGGAUAGACCUUCUAUAUUCAUGUACCCUUUGAGAUGGCCAGUAUUAAAAUGCUGUUGAGUUUGCCCCAAGGCAGACCAGUAUAUAGCUGGGGUACUCUCAUGAGGAAAACAUGACUAGAGAUGAGGUUUCAGCAGAGUAAUCCUUUGCCUUCAUACUAGUGAUUUAAGACCCUCUGUGGAGUUAGUAGUUUGAUAUUCUAAUGGCUCUUACUUAGUUUUUCAUAUAAUUAUGGAAUGGUUUGAGUGGGAAGAGACCUUAAGGAUCAUUUAAUUCCAACUCCCUUACCGUGGGCAGGGAACCUUUCACUAAGCCAGGUUGCUCAAAGCCCCAUUCAAGCUGGUCUUUAACACUUGCAAAGGAUGGGCACCCACAUCUUCUCUGAGCAACCUGCUCCAAUGCUUCGUCACCCUCAUAGUUUUUAAAAGUUUUAUUUCUUUUGAGUCUAGGAUUUGCUAAAUAGUAUUUAUUUUACCAAUCUGCAUUGUUAUUUAUUCUAUUUUUAUGCAACAUCAGCAUAAGUAGCUAGCAAAUCAAAAUACUAACUUACCAGCAUUUCAAUGUGUGUUAAUAUUGCAAAUUAAGGAGUGUAAUUAAAAAUAAUGAAUUCAAUUGAUGUUAAUGACUCAAUAUCUUGUAUUAACUAUGGCCUGUUUAAUGUACAUCAGGCCAAGUUAAAUGUUUUUAUGAGAUCUUUUUUUUCUGCUUAUCUUAGUUUUGAGUAUACAUAUUCCAGGAAUGUAAAUUACUCAGCCUACCUUUACAUUUUUAAUAGAAUCUUUCUAGUUUGUAAAUUAGAGUUGAUAUUAGGCUUUUGCAAUGUGAAUCAUCAUAGCACUCAUAAUCUGCCCAUUAGCUAACCUGAGGCAACUGAAUACCUUGGUUUACAACAAAUAUGAGUUCAAGUCAUAAAUCAACACAGAUCAGCUUCUUUAAGGCUGUUUGAGAGUACAUAUAGGAUAGUGAUAACUUGGCUGAUGUGGGAGUGAUUUUUAAAUUUAUUGUAACUUAAUCAAGUGUUCACUUCUCAGGUUGCACAAUGAUCGAGGUAUUGUACUUAUCCCCUUAUCUUGUGCUAAGUGCCAUCCAUAUUUAGUAACAGUAUUAUUAACAAGAGCAACAUAUCAUUAUUGCACAUGCAGUAGCUUAGCUCUUUGUAUUUUAUUUCUUUGCUGAAGUUAUUUCAAGGCAGGGAGGCAGAUUUCUGUGGGCACACUGCAAUAAUGCACACUAUUUUCACACAGCCUUGUGGAAGCCUGGCAAGGGAUGCCACACUUCUAUGGCAUGACCCACAGCAGAGAAAGAAAAAGUGUUAGCCAAAAUGUACAGUGGAAGUUUCUAAAGCACAAUAAGCUAUCCUAUGAUUUUAGCAGGAAUAUAUUUGAAAAUCCUUUCAAAAAUGCAAGAUUUUUUUUUUCCUUCACAUUAUAAUUCUUAGCGCCAGUUGCUACACUACCUUAUACUGGAAAGACAGCUGUUAUCGCACUGAUUUAAAUUUUCUGGGCCCAGCCUUUCUUCUAUGAGAAAAAGAAUUGUUGCUUCAUUUCCAGUUUCCCCUCUCCAGCCAAAGAAAAAAUAGCUGUGAGGAGCAUGGCUGUGGUCAGCACUGUGAAGAUCUGUAUGCUCACUGCUAUUUACUUUGUUGUAUUUGUGAUUGCUGACCAUACAGGUCUUGCCAAGAAGUGACUUAUAGUAUAUUGAGUACAUUAAUAUCUAAAAGCUAGCCCUCCAGCUUCUAGGGCCAGGAGAAAUGGUAGAGAUAGUAACUUAACCAAACACUCCAGUUAAGCACACUGUACUACCAUCUGAUUGUCUUUUAUGCUUCUCUUGUAUUAACCCUUCAGUCACUCUGAAAAGUACAUUUGAACCGAGUGAGAUGAUUUUGACAAUUAGAACAAUAAUGUAGAAAAUCUAAGACUUCCAGGAUGAAAAGUAGCACAUAGUAUUCAUGCGCUACUUUUAUCCCAUCUCUUAAAAGAAAUCAGAAAUGAUUGUGUCUUUUUUUGUCCAUUAUCAUCUGUCCAUUAUCAGUCUGCUUUUGAUUUUUCUGCACUUACAUGUAACACAUGCAAUAAUUAUUAUUGCCAACAAUUUAUAGCAACAACUGUUGUUAUUGUGACAGAUUUUAUUCUAUGUGGAUCUUGUUUAAUAUUCCUUUUUAACAGCACUGAUCAUAAGGAAUUCAGCCAGUAUUCAUUCUAAUAGCAAUGAUCAUAAAGAAUUCAUUUGCUAUUCAUAUGGAUGUUACAGGUGUUUCCAUAGGACUUAGCUAACUGCAAUUUCAGGAUAUUUCAAUGAAUACUUACAAAAAGUUUGGUUUUGAUAGAAUCUCCUACAACUUCCCAACUGGCUGACUAAAGUUUGGCUAUAUGGAAGCAGAGGUCAAAAGAUCUUUAAGAAUAAUAGGUUUUAUUUUACCUGACAUUUUCUAGUAACCAGAUUUUGAAGCCUGUGUGUUUAGCAAUUGAUCAGCCAUGGAGCUUCAUGUAGGUGAGAUCCAUUUUCAGACAUAGUCUUCAUGCUUCUGCUUCAUGCUUCUGCAGAGACUCAAAAAUUAGAAAUAUUUUUGGCAUCAUUUGCAAUGGCAGAACAGGAUACUUGCAAGAAAAUGUAAGGCUAAAUUGUGCAAAGGGGAAGAAAAGGUAUAUUUCUGACUCAUAGUGAUUCAGAAAAUACUAAAAUUGUGUGGAUUAAACACAUUUAUAAUCAGACUAUUAACAAAAAGAUUCGCAGCUGCAUUAAUAAGUCAUAUUUCAUUAUUCUAACAUAAAAGAUACCUGGUAUGAGGCAUAAAUAUGUGUAAUAACGUGUUCUGCCUAUAUAUUAUGAACAGCAGUUCUUUUAAUAUUAAACGUGAAUCCAUAUGGGUUAUUUGACAUGUAAAAUAUUAACUUUUAUAGCAAGAAUGCAAAUGAGAGUCUCAGCACUAAUUAUAGCUGCAGAUCCCACUCAGGAAUGAGGCUCUGUGUGACUAAUGAUUUCAGCAAAAUGGAGAAAUGGCCUGCUUCCCUCAAGAGGCAGCAUAUCUUAGCUCCCUCUCCUCCCUCUGGAACCCUUCAAAAUUCUCAGCAUGUCUCAGCACAGUGCCUAAUGUAUGUGCUGCUUCCAGGAACUGGCUCCUACAAACAGGUCACCAGCUUCAUGCUUUUAUAGAUAGUUUUAUAUAACUGUCUCUAGAGAUGAGAAAAAGUUAUUUCAUAUUUAUCCAGAAAAUUGUAAUUGCAGAAGAUAGUUUUAUUUUGAUUGGGCGUUCCAAAUAUCUCAUUUCUAUUUCUUCCAUAAAUGAGACAAACAUACUGGGUUUUGAUGUAGGAUGGUCUGUUUGGUCUGCCAUGAAUUUUUCACGGUAUUUUUCUUUUGUUAGCUUUUUUGCACAGAAUAAUAGGAUGUUCUUUUUAAAAAAAAAAACCCUACAAAAUCUAGCUUUUGUCAUUAUUCUUUGCUUUCCAUGUGCAAUCCUCUGAUAAACAUGUAUCUGGCUGAGAUGACUGCAGUGACUCUUACCCAAGCCUAUCAUUGUUAUUCCUGAAAUGGCCAGAGGGUUCACUGAAAAGUAAAAAGGAACUGUUAAUUCUUGUCAAAAAAGUAUAUUAUUUUAUGGCAUGUUCCUGUGAGAAAAUUGUUGUUACCUGAGCUACUUACUGCUUUUCUGUAUGUACAAGCAUGAGACUGUACUCAGCUGGAGUAAUCUCUAAUGUGUUCAUAUUUUUCUCAAUUUUAUUAUCCUUUAUUAAAGAAAAUUUUAAGAGAAAGCAUACCUAGGAAAUAUGCUGUUAGAAAUAAGAUGAAUAAACAAUUAUUGAAUAGUAUCAUAGGUGGUUUAAACUAUUAUAUAAUUAUCUUUUAAUAACAACACUCACAUGCAAUUCAACUGGAUUAUUAUUACUCUUGUGACUUAUUGCCAAUCUGUAGUGGAAAGGAUGUAGUUUUACUAAAAUUUAAUGAAGGAGUUUUUAAUCCAAGUUUCUUUGAUCUAGUAAUAAAUUCUCUUUUUUUCAGUGCUGCUAGCCAAUGUCUCUGAAGUUAAGCAAUGUCUUCUGCAAACAUUGAGGAUAGCAAGAUUGCAGAUGUCAUAAAAGGGCAUUACGGUGGAUAUAAUUCAAAUUUCAAAUGAUGCUGAAUUAGUAAUACUCCUGCUUAAUGAGAUACAAGUGAGAAAGUGUCAGUAUUUCUGAGGUACCCACAUUAUUAUACAAUAGAAAAGUAAAAAUAGUGUCUAAAUUCAGUUACUCUGGAAAAAAAUUGGUAAUUUUUAAAAUGUGAACCUCAUUUCUAAUAAGUGUUUUGCUGUACAUUAUUGGAAACACUCUUGUGAUGUGUAGAACAACUGGCAGGAGGAGUUUUUUAUGAGAAAAUUACUAAAUCAGCUUCCAGGCAGUCUUAAUAAAUCACUGUGUGAUUAGUGCAAUUUUCUAGACUUCAUCAAGGUGCAUCUACUGUAGCUGCACAAAUACGUGUGGCAAUUUCACUACCAACAAUGGUCUUGGCAAACAACUGAAUUCCGAUUCUGUGCAUACAAUUUGGCUAGAUAAUUACAUUUUUUGCUUCUAAUAUAAUUUUCCUAAUUCACUUGAUUUUUAUUUUUCCUGUUACAUUAAGCACCUUAAAAACUAAGGUUAGGGAAUGGAUUGUUUAAUCUAAAUGAAAUUAUAUGCAUCUAAAACAUUAGUUCAUUUAAGCAGGAUAAAAUUCAGUGGAUUAUCUUUUCCUGUGAUUUUCUUUUUUGUUGCUGCUGCUCUAAGGUGAGGUAUUCCAAGCUCCACUAAGAGAGAUAGUCAAGUUCUUCUUGCUUCUCCUGUCACUGACAGUGGGGUUAGGAACAGAUGAAAGGAAUUUAAUAAGGGAUGUUUUCCUAUUUUUAUAUAUCGCUAAGCAUGUUGCAGGUUUGGCACAAUACUCGAUAUUCAAUAUUAAUGUUCAAUAAUUUCAAUAUAUUUAAAAUAAUAUUAAAAAUAUUAAAUGUUUGUUUAAUACAUGAUGAUAUAUAUAAAGCAGAAAAAAAUAAUUCAGUGAAUUGGGGGGUUAAGCUGUAUGCAGCCUUUCCAUUAUGUAAAAUGUGCUACAAUUUAUCAGCUGAAAUUUUAUGUGGGCUCUAAUAGCAAGAUUUUCAGAGGUUUUGAAUGCCUGUCUUGAGCUCCCAAAAACACCCCAAAUGCUUGAGCAUUGCUCAGGACUUUCUGGCAGGUAAGGAUCUUCAAAGUGCCUCAAACUGUGCAUCCAAAAAUACAUCCAAAGUACCUCCAAAAGUAAGACAUUUAAAAUCACAAAUCUUUGAAUUUGCUUUCUGAAAAGCAUUCAAAGCCUUUAAACUAGGUGCCUAGAGGUAGAUAAAAUAUUUUCUUUUAAAAAGCCUCAGAAAAUGAUGUAAAUUGAUUCAAAUGUAAUUAGUACCAGUUCAAAGUGUAUAUUGAUUUGUGCCAUACUGGUUUAGGUGGAAAGGUACAUAAAGGAAAUUAAUUCCUAAUCCCUGUUUGAGAUUGGUUUUUUCAAUUGCUUGGAGACAUCCACAUCUCCAGGCUCAGUUUGUUAUUUAAUGUCAAGUGGCAAGUCUGCACAUACAAUUGUGUUGUCAAUAUGAGUUAAAUUCCUAGGGACUAGGAUCUGCAAACUGAUUUUGAGUACAUAGAUCAAAUCUUGUGCAAAUGUCUUAUGCCUGAAAGGCUGUGCAAGAUAAGCAAGCUUAUCAUUUAAAUAUUAACGUCACACACUUUAUUUAUGCUGAUGAAAAUAUUAUUAUAUGAAUUGCAAAAUUCAUUAUCAUAAUCAAUCAUUAUUAAUUUGAUAUUUAGGGCUUGAAUGCUAAGAAUGUCUAGGUUAGAGAUAUUGUUUCAGUAGUGAGAAAUGCAAUUUUUCUAGAACUUUGAUACCAUUAAACUUUACAAUAUUCUCUAGGCUACAAAUACUUAAGGUGUAUGCUUCAAUCUGUAGGCAUCAUCUGUUCAAUUCUGGGAGGUCAAGUAAUUUUAAAACAUAACCCUGAGAAAUUUAACUCAGAGAUCAGUGGGAGACUUCCUUUGUUUUAUAAACAGUCACAUCAGUUACUGUAUGAUAGAACCUGGCACGCCAGAAAAACUGUUUGUUUGCCUCGAACUAGAAAGCAGACAUAUUCACACAGGCAGUGUUAAAUAGAAGCAUACACAGCAGCACGGUGUAAGCAUAUACAUAGCAACACCAAUGAUGUGUCUGUGAAACUUUUGCUUUUUCCUCAAACCACUUCCUCAUAUUCCAUUUUCUACCAGUAGUAGUGUUAUUGGCUGUGGUAGAUCUAUACAUUGAAAUUGUAAACUGUCAUGAAGUGUACCCCCUUCUGUUUGCUGGUUUGUUGGGUUUUUUGGUUAAGCAUCUUUCAGAAUCAAACACAUGCAUCUUUACUAAUCAAAACUUAGUGACUGUUGGAGGCUGCCCCUUUCUACACCUGGAGACCUCAAAAACUGUGCCAAUCAGAUCUUGCCUUUUUUCACUCGCUUUUGAUUGUGAGUCUACUUUUCAGUACAGUUUGAGUGCUACACUAAGGAUCUGAGUAUUGAUACUGCAGCUUUACUUCUGAUCUUUCUCUUCCAGCAGUUACAAACUCACAGGAAGGUAGCAUGUAUGCCUUCUCAUUUGUGGGUGGUAUCAGCAUGCCUAUGGAAUUCUGAUGGGGUAUUGUCAGAAUGCCAGAUCUUUGCCCAGCUGUGGAUUGAAUUGGCAGUUUCUUAGAAGUCUGUGCAAUGUGAAUAAAAUGAAGUAUAUUACAGCUGUCCUCAUCUUAAUACAGAGGAAUAAUCAGCAAAACUUGCAGCAAGUCUCAGCAUGUGAUAUCUCUGAUCAAGACUGAGUAUCAUAUGCUGAGAUAUGAGAUAGGCUGCAUCUUCCCAUUAGUAACAAACUUGGCUCAUACUGAAACAAAGACUAUGUGAUCUUGCAUUUACAGAAAGCAGAACAGGUAGUCAGGGGACUAGGAUACCGUUGUUCAUACAGCCACAGCCUUCUUGUCUGUGAAAACCUUUUGGUCAGCAGGUUUAGAUUUACAGCAACGAGAUUUAUAUCUUAGAUUUUGGAUGACCUAUUUCAGCAAUAAAAUGCCAAAUUCUAAAGCCAAGGCUUGGCUUUCUCAGACCAGAUAUUUCAGAGUGGAAGUAGCAAAAUAGUGUUCAUUUAAAGCAAAGAUCUUAGUUUUAUUCAUCAGUUUUCUCCUCUACCAAAAAAAAAAAAAAA